AUCACAUGUAUCCAUCUUUCAGAGGAACAUAUUGGAUAGGAAUAUACAUAUUAGGUAUAGUGAGGUAUCCAUCCUGUGUACAUAUCCAUCAUAUAGUGGGCAGAGGUGGCAAAAGUCAACACCUUCACUGUAGCCACCUAUAUAUUUAAUGUGAUAGUAGAUGUAAAAAGAGCAUGGGCAGAUCACAUCUGUGGAUCCAAUUUUAAUGAAGACAUCCUCAAUUAUGCUGUUCUUCUUCCUAUUUCUUGGUCGGUACUUUGCACCUCUAAGUAGAGUGCAUUGACACUUGACUUAUUGAUUACCAUCUUUUUUAACUUUUUAUCGCUUUGUCCUUUCUUUUCAAUGC
This 346-nucleotide long non-coding RNA is filed under the name Elaeis guineensis (African oil palm). RNAcentral's name for it is "long non-coding RNA (EGUI_LNC058460)". The record is from RNAcentral. Lineage: Eukaryota; Viridiplantae; Streptophyta; Magnoliopsida; Arecales; Arecaceae.